AAUCAACAGCUCUCUAGUAUUCUUUGGGUCUGAAAACUGGCAGCAGCUGGUGAGACUGAAAGUAGGUACUUUUUAAGGCAUUCACAUAUUUUCAAGGACCUGAUCUCUGGAAGUUGACAUGUCUAGGUUGGAAUGAGUUAAAGUCUCCUGGUAGAAUGGAAGACCUUACUGAAAUUAAAUUUUUGGACACUGGACCCAUCUAUUUUUUUGAUCAGAUAAAACCAAAAAGGAAAAUAUGGGAAAAGAGAAAAUGUGAAGACCACUUCCCCCUUUUGGAAUGCACUGAAGGAGCUAACUAUAAUCCUGCAAGGAGUAUAUUUAAAGAACUAGAGAAAGCAAGAUUUUCUACAGUAGCUGAAUCUGGGGAGAAAGAUGAGUUCAUCUCAUCUAGUGUCUCACAAACUUCUAGUGUUUCUAUGUUAUCUACUAAUUUUAAAUUUUCCAAACUACAACUGCAAAAGUCUCUAUUUGAAGAAUACAAACUCACUGCUGCUGAAAUACUGUACGAACUUGAGGAGAUAUUGCAGAAAUACACUGUGUAUAACAUUACUUUCCCUGUGGGAAUUGUAAAUCUUGUGGAUUACAGUUGGCACGAUCUUACUGCAGAUGCUUAUAAGUAUGCAACCAAAAAUCCUAUGUUGAAGAAACGUAGUGCCUUCCAAGAUGAUACCAAUAUCAUGACUAUGAUCGACUUAAAGGGAUACGAAAUCAACAGCUGCUCAAGAGAAGAAUAUCAUAAGAGGAACUGCCUGGUAAAAGUAAAAGAAGACCAUCAUGAUGCAGCAAGUAAACCUAUGGUAAAAACAUCUCUUGUCGACCAAAAGCAGUGUUCCCAGAUCUCCCAGGAUAGCAGUUUACCUGUUGUCACCCACUUCUCACUGACAUCCAAGAUUUGUUUAGAAAAUGGUUGGAUCCUACAGCAUCCUUCCUCAAAAUUGGAAAUUCUAAAAUUGAAGACAAUUCUUGAUAUUGCUGUGAAGAAACUACAAGUAGCCAUAAUGCAAAUAAAAACAGAAGAAGCUAAGCUAAGAAAAGAAGGAUUCAACAAACAGCUUAUCCUGAGCCACUAUAACGAGGAAGAGGUGAACACCAUCCCUGAAGAUUCCCAGUGUUUCUGGCUAGAGUUGCUGAGGAGGAGGACUAAUAUGCCGACAAUCAAGAAGCCUGACCAGAAUUUGAAAAAGUUCCAUUAUGCUCUGACAGAUGGUUCCUCUCUGACCUAAUAUCCUUGUGAAACGCCAAUGGUUGAAGAAGGAUGGGACGGGUCAGGAGUGGUAAAGGGGCAGCAGGUGGAGUGUUUCUGUUUCAGCAGAAAAUCCCAGAAGCAUUAAAAAAGGAG
Molecule: long non-coding RNA, 1339 nt
Filed under: Capra hircus (goat)
Lineage: Eukaryota; Metazoa; Chordata; Mammalia; Artiodactyla; Bovidae
Description: lncRNA (ENSCHIG00000001460.1)
Source: RNAcentral